GACUCGGUACUUCGAGCCUUCUUCAGAAUACUGAGAUUAAAAUUACAUAUGUACAUUAUUUAAUUAAAGUUUUGCGGUGUUGCUACGUUCUUGUAUACGUCGAGACCGUCUAAUUGGCUGUUCCGCUGCUGAUCUGAUCUCAUUGCUGGUUGAAGAAUGCGUUGUCAUGGUUGAGUGAAUUCUUCUGCUAGGGAUGGCGUCAUUGGAAUGUU
This is a non-coding RNA of Paramuricea clavata, 212 nucleotides long. Lineage: Eukaryota; Metazoa; Cnidaria; Anthozoa; Malacalcyonacea; Plexauridae. The record is from the annotation of a GenBank genome assembly.